RNAcentral lists this ribosomal RNA (409 nucleotides) under uncultured prokaryote. Its description in RNAcentral is "bacterial SSU rRNA". It matches the Rfam family "Bacterial small subunit ribosomal RNA", at positions 355 to 776 of the family's 1533-position model. The record is from RNAcentral. RNAcentral also lists the same sequence under 1 other name.
UCGAGAAGCUUCGGCAAUGGGCGAAAGCCUGACCGAGCGACGCCGCGUGGGGGAUGAAGGCCUUCGGGUUGUAAACCCCUUUCAGCAGGGAAGAAGCGAAAGUGACGGUACCUGCAGAAGAAGCGCCGGCUAACUACGUGCCAGCAGCCGCGGUAAUACGUAGGGCGCAAGCGUUGUCCGGAAUUAUUGGGCGUAAAGAGCUCGUAGGCGGUUUGUCGCGUCUGCUGUGAAAACCCGAGGCUCAACCUCGGGCCUGCAGUGGGUACGGGCAGACUAGAGUGCGGUAGGGGAGACUGGAAUUCCUGGUGUAGCGGUGGAAUGCGCAGAUAUCAGGAGGAACACCGAUGGCGAAGGCAGGUCUCUGGGCCGCAACUGACGCUGAGGAGCGAAAGCAUGGGGAGCGAACAGG